GUGAGGAAUAUUGGUCAAUGGGCGCAAGCCUGAACCAGCCAUCCCGCGUGAAGGACGACGGCCCUAUGGGUUGUAAACUUCUUUUGUACGGGAAGCACGUGCGCUAUGUAUAGCGUAUUGACGGUACCGUACGAAUAAGCAUCGGCUAACUCCGUGCCAGCAGCCGCGGUAAUACGGAGGAUGCGAGCGUUAUCCGGAUUCAUUGGGUUUAAAGGGUGCGUAGGCGGCCCGGUAAGUCAGCGGUGAAAGUUUGCGGCUCAACCGUAAAAUUGCCGUUGAUACUGUCGGGCUUGAGUUCAGAUGAAGUGGGCGGAAUGAGUAGUGUAGCGGUGAAAUGCUUAGAUAUUACUCAGAACACCGAUUGCGAAGGCAACCCACUAAACUGCGACUGACGCUGAUGCACGAAAGCGUGGGGAUCGAACAGGAUUAGAUACCCCAGUAGUCC
This 445-nucleotide ribosomal RNA is filed under the name uncultured bacterium. RNAcentral's name for it is "partial 16S ribosomal RNA". It matches the Rfam family "Bacterial small subunit ribosomal RNA", at positions 354 to 796 of the family's 1533-position model. The record is from RNAcentral.